ACCAGCACUAAUGCACCGG
RNAcentral lists this small nuclear RNA (19 nucleotides) under Arabidopsis thaliana (thale cress). RNAcentral describes it as "snRNA_02956". Lineage: Eukaryota; Viridiplantae; Streptophyta; Magnoliopsida; Brassicales; Brassicaceae. The record is from RNAcentral.